GCCCGGGUGGCGGAAUUGGUAGACGCAAGGGACUUAAAAUCCCUCGGUGGUUUCCACCGUGCCGGUUCGAUCCCGGCCCUGGGCACCA
This 88-nucleotide transfer RNA is filed under the name Deltaproteobacteria bacterium. RNAcentral describes it as "tRNA-Leu". It matches the Rfam family "tRNA". Rfam says of the family: Transfer RNA (tRNA) molecules are approximately 80 nucleotides in length. The record is from RNAcentral. Lineage: Bacteria; Pseudomonadati; Myxococcota; Myxococcia. RNAcentral also lists the same sequence under 1 other name.